RNAcentral lists this ribosomal RNA (460 nucleotides) under uncultured bacterium. RNAcentral's name for it is "partial 16S ribosomal RNA". It matches the Rfam family "Bacterial small subunit ribosomal RNA", at positions 338 to 795 of the family's 1533-position model. The record is from RNAcentral.
CCUACGGGAGGCAGCAGUGAGGAAUAUUGGUCAAUGGACGAGAGUCUGAACCAGCCAAGUAGCGUGAAGGAUGACUGCCCUAUGGGUUGUAAACUUCUUUUAUAAAGGAAUAAAACGAGGCACGUGCGCCUUUUUGCAUGUACUCUAUGAAUAAGGAUGGGCUAACUACGUGCCAGCAGACGCGGUAAUACGGAGGAUCCGCGGGUUAUCCGGGUUUAUUGGGUUUAAAGGGAGCGUAGAUGGGUUGUUAAGUCAGUUGUGAAAGUUUGCGGCUCAACCGUGGAAUUGCAAUUGAAACUGGCGGUCUCGAGUGCAGUUGGGGUAGACGGAAUUCGUGGUGUAGCGGUGAAAUGCUUAGAUAUCACGAAGAACCCCGAUUGCGAAGGCAACUUGCUAGACUGUAACUGACACUGAGGCUCGAAAGUGUGGGUAUCAAACAGGAUUAGAUACCCGAGUAGUC